This 1260-nucleotide long non-coding RNA is filed under the name Bemisia tabaci. RNAcentral describes it as "lncRNA ENSSSA1NGG008012". Lineage: Eukaryota; Metazoa; Arthropoda; Insecta; Hemiptera; Aleyrodidae. The record is from RNAcentral.
CGAAUGAUUCCUUUAUAUUUAUCAGAGAUGGAUGGAUUGGAAAAAUCAGAGCCAACCAUUUGGAAAGAAUUUCUAGAAGGCAAUUGGGUGGUGAAUAAAAAUAAAAUUCCAUUCUCAGCUUUAGGUGACGAUGAAGCCCUAGAACAUGAAAACAGGAGGCUGAAGGUUCAAGGAGGACUGACCGGCAUGACUCUGAAUGAAUCAGCAAGGACACGAUUCUUUUUGACUGACGUCGAGUUAACUAACAUAGCAUUGAAACUGGAGAAAUUUGCUCAAAAAAAAAUUUACCAAGAGUCCCAGCAUCACAGUAUGUCUACCAAGACGAGAAAUAGACAGGAUAAAAAUGUUCUUUUAUUGAAAGAAUCUUUUGAAAGGACAACCAAUCCAUUUUCAUGCCGCAAUGCAAACUUAAUUCAUUUUGUUUCACAACAAAUUUUCACCGCGGACAUUGAAAAGGAUGUCGGUCGAAUAAAAACUGUUGGUGAGAAAAUGUUCCUUGCUUUCACUCAAGAGCGCAUCGAGACCUGCUCUGUGCCGUUUUGGUCACCUAUGCAAAAAGUAAAGCUCAACUUAUGCAAAUCUGCCAAUAAAAAAUUGAAAAUUGAUGUUAAGGGAAAAAUAACAGAAAUUAAGGCAGAUACUGCACUUCUGACUAGACUUAUCGUGGCGUCCAGAUCAAGAGCUGAUGUUGACAUGAAAACAUGCAUUUCUAAUUAUGAAUUAUCUGCAGUUCCAAGAUCACUUUUCGCUUCAAACGGCAGUAUGCAUCACUGUUUAUCAAAAUAUAAGCUAGCCGAGCAACUAGAAUCUCUACCAGUACCGUCAACCGAUCCAGAUGGUGAUUUGCUCGACAUAAACCCGGGCGAUUUGACCUCCAUGAAAGUUGCAAUCGUCGAUGGUAUGGCUCUGCUCCACACGAUUUCAAAGCCAGGUUCCAUAAAAACAUGCCACGAAUUAGGCGUUUAUUUUUGCAAAAUUGUCAGCGAAAAAUAUAAAACUUAUGAUGAGAUCCAUAUGGUAUUUGAUUCGUAUAAAGAAGGCUCUCUGAAGACUGCAAUCAGAAAUUUUCGGCAGAGUAGUGCAGGCAGAAGUCAGUACCAAAUACUCCCCACAACAAAUAUCCGUAAUACAACCAUGAAAAAAUUACUUUCGCACGAAAAAACAAAAGACGAGUUAACGGAUUUUUUUGCAAAGUAUCUCCUUAGUUAUGGAUCCGACAACAAAAAGAAUUACGUAGUCAGCUGGCGGGGCGAAGCCCAA